This is a long non-coding RNA of Seriola aureovittata, 1152 nucleotides long. RefSeq lists it as uncharacterized. The transcript is spliced from 4 exons. NCBI's taxonomy places the organism in Eukaryota, Metazoa, Chordata, Actinopteri, Carangiformes, Carangidae. The record is from RefSeq and is a predicted model, not a curated record.
AAAAUACAGAAGUUUAAUCACGUCUGCAUUUUAUGUAGCUCGGACUUCGAACUGAAAGUUACAGCUCUGUUACAGGCUUUAAGCUGCGAAAUCAUGGCUACGGUCGCUAUUGAAUAUUGUAAAGGAUGAAGCUACGGGUUCCGUUACCAGGAACUAGCCGGUACUCUCCGGCAGGUUCCUGGUGUGCAGGUGAAGGGAGAUAAGGGUAGACCAAACAGCUUUGAGGUGUCAGUGAAUGGUGAGCUGAUCUACUCCAAGCUUGAGACGGGAACGUUUCCUGAUACUGAACAAGUGACAAAAAGGGUGAGGGAGAUGGUCCAAGGAGAAAAAGCGGGGAAAUCCUCAAAGAAAGAACAGAAGAACCACUGCUCUUACCAUUAGAGCUGUAUUCUGUACUGCAAGAGUAAUACAUGGUUUGUCUUCUGUGGUUCGAAACUCAUUCUCAUCACAUCUGCUUAACUCAAGACCAAAAUGAAUUCAAACUUUAAAAUAUGAGUAAGUUUUGAUUUUUAAGUUUUAAUUGUCGACCAUAACCAAAAUCUUUGAGUCUCAUAGUCAGCCAAGAAGAUCAGACCAUAAAUUGUCUUCACUGUGAAUACAAAGACGACAAGAUGAUGACAGCAACUCCAAGGAGCCAUGUACUGAUCUGUACUUCUGUUUAUGAAUGUAUACAUUGAAAAACAUGUGGUGUGUACACGAUGCAAGUGUAGAAGCUUUUCAGCAGACUGGAGCCUGAGGAACUGCUCUGUGCAUUAUUAAAACGUCUCUUUAACUGCAUUUAAUUUAGAUUGGGAAAAAGGGAAAAUAUAACUCUUCAUCAGCCAUAUAUAUAUUUAAUAUUCAGUUUCUCUCUGUUUGGAUAAGUCCAGAAGUUUUGGGUCUGUGCUGUGACUGGGCAGGAAUUUAAAGGAAUAGUUUGAAAUUUUGGGAAAUAUGCUUAUUUUCUUUCUUGCCAAGAGAUCAGAAGAUUGAUAUGAUGAAUAUAAGGCUACUUUUAACAGCCAAUUAUCUUAGCUUAGGAUAAAGACUGGAAGCAGUGGAAAACUUGCUUUCAGUGUUGGACUGUUUCCUGACUGGGACCAGUAAAUUAAUGGACUGUUUAGUCCUGGUCCAGGUCAAUAAAUAGUCCAACACAUGACCCCCCCCCCCCCC